This 465-nucleotide ribosomal RNA is filed under the name uncultured bacterium. Its description in RNAcentral is "partial 16S ribosomal RNA". It matches the Rfam family "Bacterial small subunit ribosomal RNA", at positions 28 to 507 of the family's 1533-position model. The record is from RNAcentral.
GAUGAACGCUGGCGGCGUGCUUAACACAUGCAAGUCGAACGGAAAGGCUCCUGCUUGCAGGGGUACUCGAGUGGCGAACGGGUGAGUAACACGUGGGUGAUCCGUCCCUCACUUCGGGAUAUGCCUGGGAAACUGGGUCUAAUACCGGAUAGGAUGAUUGUCUGGAUGCCAUUGUGGAAAGUUAUUCGGUAUUGGCUGAGCUCGCGGCCUAUCAGCUUGUUGGUGGGGUAAUGGCCUACCAAGUCGCUGACGGGUAGACGGCCUGGGAGGGGGUACGGCCACAAUAGGCCUGAGGUACGACGCAGACUCGAACCGGAGGCAACGGUGGAGAGUAUUACACAGUAGCGGCGAGCCAGUUGUGACGGCGCCGGGUGGGGGAUGCCGUGCUUCGGGUUGUGAACUCAUUUCGCUGGAGACGUGGCGAUAGUGACGGUACCUGGAGAAGAAGCACCGGCUAACUACGUG